This 400-nucleotide ribosomal RNA is filed under the name uncultured bacterium. RNAcentral describes it as "bacterial SSU rRNA". It matches the Rfam family "Bacterial small subunit ribosomal RNA", at positions 355 to 770 of the family's 1533-position model. The record is from RNAcentral.
UGGGGAAUAUUGCACAAUGGGGGAAACCCUGAUGCAGCAACGCCGCGUGAAGGAUGAAGGUUUUCGGAUUGUAAACUUCUUUAGUCAGGGACGAAUAAAUGACGGUACCUGAAGAAUAAGCCACGGCUAACUACGUGCCAGCAGCCGCGGUAAUACGUAGGUGGCGAGCGUUGUCCGGAAUUACUGGGUGUAAAGGGCGUGUAGGCGGGAAUGUAAGUCAGAUGUGAAAUCCCAGGGCUCAACCCUGGAGCUGCAUCUGAAACUAUGUUUCUUGAGUGCCGGAGAGGAUAGCGGAAUUCCUAGUGUAGCGGUGAAAUGCGUAGAUAUUAGGAGGAACACCAGUGGCGAAGGCGGCUAUCUGGACGGUAACUGACGCUGAGGCGCGAAAGCGUGGGGAGCA